RNAcentral lists this long non-coding RNA (286 nucleotides) under Gossypium raimondii (Peruvian cotton). Its description in RNAcentral is "long non-coding RNA (GRAI_LNC008189)". Lineage: Eukaryota; Viridiplantae; Streptophyta; Magnoliopsida; Malvales; Malvaceae. The record is from RNAcentral.
GGGGGGAAGAGAUACAAAGAGAUCAUUUGGAAUACAAAAGGUUUUUUUCAUUUUCUGAGCAUUUUGAGUUUCGUUUUGUUUUUUUUUUCCUUUUAGCCUCUUUUAUUAUUUUAUUUUUCAUUGAAAAUAAAAAGAAAGAAGGAAGAAAUUUACCUGGUCGCCGGAGUCGACUGGCCGGCGUCUUUUCCGUCGACGGAGGCCAUGGCAUCAACUGAAUGGCAGCGUUCAAGGGUUGAUAAAACCUUAAAAGAAGCAGACUUUGCUUCAGGGAAAAAGAAAGUCUCCC